CGCCUUCUCCUCAGCGCGGGGCUCGCUGUGGAGCGGGGACCCCCCCCCCCCCCCCACGCCGCCUCGGGCCGUGGCCGCUGAGGGGAAGGGGAAGGGUCCCUGCCCCGGCGACGGCAAGGGACCCUCGUGAGCUGAGGGGACGCCGAGCGGGGUCUCUGCCUCCUCUGGGGACGCUGAGGGGCCGGGGGGGGGGGGGGUCCCAGGCCUGGGGACACUGAGGGAGUCUCCCUGACGUGAGGGGGGGGGCCAUGCGCUGAGAGACGCUGUGAGGGAGCUGCUGUGGGGUGGGGGACACCGAAGGGGGUCCCUGCUGUGGGAACACCAAGGGACCGUCCAUGACACGAGGGGACACUGAGGGGUCCAAGCUCCAACAGAGCCUGUGAGGGACUUGCAGUGGGGUGGGGGACACUGAGGGGUCCCUGCCCUGGGGGGGACGCUGAGGAAGACACCACGAAUGAGGGGUUUGAUUCCCCUCCCCGACCCAUCCCUCACAGCGGCUGCCCCACAACCCGGCCUCAUCGCCUGGGACGCGUGGUGGGACCAGACCCAGAAAACGAGGGUGGGAGCGGAAGGCGUAACGAGCACAGCAAGGGAGGCAGGUGCCCUGCGCCGCGUGGGUAGACGCGCUGGUGAGCCGGUAAUGGAGGCCUCCGGCUCUGGUCACCCUAAAGGUCUCAGACCCAUCUCGGUACUGACAGGAAAGCGUUUAAUGCCGCUCUUGUACGGUCUCCGCUGGAGACUUGCGUUUAAUGGAAGGCCAGGUCUCUAGCAGAGUUUCCAUUUGCCGCAUGAAGAUUGCCAAAGUCAACGUUUCCCUAUGACAUUGUGAGAGAAAUAAUGCAAGUAGCUUCUGUGAUCUCCUCUGGUCAUAGCCAAUUUAUGGUCCUGGGCUGGAUUUUUCAGAAGGGAAGACUGUUCUCCUCCCUUACCUUGGCCUCUAGCUCAGAUGCCCAGUCUGAAGGAGCUAUUCUCCAAUAAUUUUUGAUAACGUGCCCCAGACUCCUGUUUUUGAGGAUCACGGCUGCUUGGCAGUCUUCCAAGAGCAAAGGAGCAAAAGUGGCCAUUCUUAAAGGAGGAAAAAUGAUGAUCUAUCACAGGACAGACUGAUUCUUUGAGAGCCUGUUCAGAGAAAGAGCUAUGCUUUCCCCUUACCUCCUCCAUAUUUCCUUUGCAAUCACUUCUAAAAGGAUUUCUAAGUGAGCUGAAGAUCAGAAGAGUGCGGGAGAACAACUCUCACUUUUAUGCACUGCGCGCCCCACGAGGGGAAAGAGUGAUGGCCCUUGAUGGGCUCUGGUUCUCAGAAGCAUUUUGAGCAUGUUCGUUAGAGCCCAUCCCAGGCUUGUGGCUGUACGCAGCCUUCUCAGGAAAGCACGGUUGCUAGGUUCACAGGAUGGCCAGGAGGAGCAGCCAAACUUCUGUGACUGGAGCAGAAUCAAUACACUGAAUGCAUGGUAACGAAGUACACAAAGAUGUAUGACUCAUAGCUAUGUAAUGUCACACUUGUGUAAUCUUUCAAUGUAAACUCUUUUCCUCUAAUAAAAUGUUAGUAAGUGUACAAUACGUAUAUAUGGUGCUGUGAGUCAGCCAAGAAAAUAUACUCUGAUGAAUUCAGAAUGAAUGUGAAUGUUCCCUUGAUAACACACCCUGAAUGUCUGUGUCAGUUUAUGUGCUUGUGAUUUCAGCAACAGCUAUAACAAAAUAUUUUGUUUCUAGGAUAUACAACUGUACGUGUACAUUUCACUGAGAAGCUCCAGUUGGAUGCUGUCUUCUAGUAGGCACUGGAAGGACAUUUGUUUAUAGCACUGCACUGACUCUCUCACCUAACUGCGUUUUUUCUUUGCAUAAAGGAAACGUUUAGUGGGUAGUGAGAAUGAAAGCCAAGUGCACAAAAUAAUAAAUUCACUGCCUUUAGUUUCUUUUUGUUUUCAAGCAAAGCGGCGAAGCUAAAAAACUAUAGCUAUACUAAACCUGGUGAGACGAAUGUGAGAAUUUAUUUACGUUGUGAGUCACUAGUUCUGCACAAAUCGAGUACAACGUUGCCAUGACCUUCCACUUGGUCCAUGAUCGUUGUGCUGACAUUUUCUGGCUCUGUGCUGUAUGCAACGCUUAUUUUAAAUAUCUAAACCCAAGACCCUGGCACUGAUCUCAUUUAUGGCAGCAUAGAUCAGGAGUGAUGCCACUGGUGUAUAAAUGUGAAGAAUGUGAGAUUAGAAAGUAUUUGUUAAUCUGCUGCGGGUAGAGGAGAGCUAAAUGAUGUGUGAUUUGUCUUCCAGCCAAAGUAAACACAGGCUCAACCAUUUUUGAAUGGCAAAGUUGAUCUUUCUAGGUGUUGCUGCUGAUCUCUCUUGUUACUUUUACAUCAAGAGAAACUUUUUAAGGGAUUGCAAUCAAGAUUCCACAUGUUAAUAGAAGAAUCAAAGCUGGGGCUGUGUGAUGAACUGCACCCUUGGUGAAACACUGCAGCUGGAUGGGUUGGUGAGAAUGCCCAGGUCACCUGGCUGCUAGAGCACUCUGAGUCAUUACAGGACUCAAACAAACAAACAAAAAGCUCCUUUCUCAUGGGAUUGUUCUCAGAAAGUCCUGACUGCACCUAGAGAAAACGUAGUAAUAGCAGGGUAAACGAGCUGAGAAUGAGACCUCUUAGCACCACUGUUCAAAAUCACAAUACUAGUAACACUGUGACCAAUCACUUCAUAUUUAAAUGAGACAAACAUUAUAUAUGAUUUCCCUGCCUGCAUCUCAAAUUGCCAUAGUUCUGUUGACUAUACAAUUUUUUUGCGAAUUUAAACUGCAGAUUCUGAGUUAGGACCUUUUAGAGUCUGCUUUCAAGGAAGUUGAUAAAAUUAUGUUAACAACCACAUAAAAUUAAAUAUACAGGUAUUUUUUGGAGAGGCAUGUCUUAAUUUGGGGAGAGUGAUUUAAUCCUGUAGGCCUUUUGUCUGAUUAAAGUAACAUCACCAAUUAAUUUUAUAAAGGAGCCUUUUUGACCAGAUCUUCCAUGACUGGAGCUUGUUCCCAUUUGAGGACCUAAAGACAGAGGUGAACGUUCAUCUCUUUGAUAAGCUUAAGUCAAAGGGACUCAUUAAGCUUUUAGGAUGGCAUAUUUUCCUUUAAUAUUUUUUGUGAUUCUCAUCUGAACUAUGUGCACAUUUUCAAAAUCUUUCUUGAGGUUUGAGCACUGGAGAUGUGGAGCAGCAGACAAAUAUGAGUCACCCCUCUUUAGCCAAGGACUGCACUUGUGCGCUUACAGUCAUGGCAUUGCACUGAAGAUUACCCACGAGUUCACUGUUUCGCAAAGCCUUCCUCUCCCCCAGCUCUUCCAUCGCAUCGCAGCUCCCCAGUCAACGGCACCACCACCAUGAAUAUACGGUCUGCGCUCAGGUCUGUGCUCAGUGCUGGCUCAAGGCUUUUCGACUAGAUUUAAUUUAUGGCAAUGGUGGAAAGCAGAACACGUGGGACAUGGGGGGAGACUGGAAGGUGGAACAGAGCCCUGGGAGGUCUGGUGAGAGUGCUGGUGGGCCAUGGUGCAGGGCUGGGAAGCAUCAUGAGAUGCUUGGAACAACUGGGAGGAAUCCAGCUUGUUUAGGGCUGCACAGAUGGAAGGUAGAGACUGCAGAAAGGUACCAUGAAGAGAAGCAUCUGACAAAUGCCUUCUCCAGCAGAGCAAUUUUGCUGCCCCAAUUUUUUUACCUGUUGGCCUAGGUAGAACCCAUACUUUUGUCUAUGCCAAAAAGCAGAGCUGCUUGCAGUUUUCGUUGCUAGAAGUGUGGCCUUGAGCUUGCCUCUAUGGCCAUGCAUGGUGUUUGUUUCUGCCUGGAUAGUGCACUUCUUAUAAUGCUUUAACAAUGGCAUGUUCUUCAAAUUAUGUUGCACUUCCUUGAUCUUUGUCAUCUAGGACUUUUAUCAGUAACAGUUUCUGUUUUCUUCCAGGUCAUUGUUAACAACAUUGAAUGGUAAGCGAUGAUAAAAAAAGAUCAAGAACUAAUAAACUUGCUUGAUUAAAAUUUAAAUUAGAUUUCAAGAUGUAUCAGCUUGUGCUUGGACCAAUUUGCGUGUGCACACCAUAUUGAUUUGUCAUGUUCUUGUUUCUUAUUGUGAAAAUCAUAUUGCACCGAGGCAAAUCCUUACAGAGAUUUGCCUGUUACAUCAGCACUGCUGCCCUGUUUAAAACACUGUUAAAAGCCAUUGUCAUUAGCUAAACCAUCUUUAUUUAUAAUUCUUUUUAUAUAUGAAGUCCUUCCAGUCUUUUGCCCAGGUUUAUAUAACGCUGACAGGCAUAUCUGGGUCAUUCUGUUUACCCUGUUAAAAUAUUGACAUAAUAUUAACAUUCUUCAAGUCACCUGGGGCUUCCUCACUGUUCUGAAAUGGAUUGAUAAUAAACAUUAACCAUCUGGAUAUGUCCUUACUUGGUUCUUUUGAAACACUCACUUAUAAGUUACCCAGACCUGGCAACUUAAUAUUGUUUGAGAUGAGUAGCAGUUGUUUUAACAUCCUCCUUAGUUACUGGAAUGGAAAGUAUUUCAACAUCAUUAUUGUCCGAUCUGAAUACAGCAUCUGGCUUUUUCUCAAAGAGAGAACAGAAAUAUUUUUUAGCACUUCUGCUUUUUCAGCAUGAUUAUUGACAGUUCUAUCAUUUCCAUCCAUUGUGAUGGCAAUCUUAAUUCAUUUUAAUGAAAGCCUUGUUAACUUAGUUCACAAAGAUUAGCAAAAGUCAAAUGUUUAUACUCUCAACCACUGCACACUUUAGCUAGGCAGACUUCCAUUGAUGCAAAGGAAAAAUAAGCUUAAAUUCCAUUUCAAUAAAUAAGUCAAAUAAUAUAAAGAAAACUUUUCUCAGAAAUAUGCAGAAAAUACUGUUCCCAUCAUUAAAGUGUGUUCAUGAUUCAGUAAUCAUGCAAAAAAAUCAGCUGUUUAAUGAAUUUAAUCGAGGUAAUUAUGUAUUGUUACUUGAAUUUGCUGUGUGAAGAAUGAUAGCAUUCAGCUGUAAAUGAUUUUUUGUCAUUUUUGA
This is a long non-coding RNA of Aquila chrysaetos chrysaetos, 5008 nucleotides long. RefSeq lists it as uncharacterized. The transcript is spliced from 3 exons. NCBI's taxonomy places the organism in Eukaryota, Metazoa, Chordata, Aves, Accipitriformes, Accipitridae. The record is from RefSeq and is a predicted model, not a curated record.